GGAGGGGUGGCCGAGUGGUUUAAGGCAGCGGUCUUGAAAACCGCCGAGCGUAACAGCUCCGUGAGUUCGAAUCUCACCUCCUCCGCCA
This 88-nucleotide transfer RNA is filed under the name Symbiopectobacterium purcellii. RNAcentral's name for it is "Candidatus Symbiopectobacterium sp. SyEd1 tRNA-Ser". It matches the Rfam family "tRNA". Rfam says of the family: Transfer RNA (tRNA) molecules are approximately 80 nucleotides in length. Lineage: Bacteria; Pseudomonadati; Pseudomonadota; Gammaproteobacteria; Enterobacterales; Enterobacteriaceae. The record is from RNAcentral.